UUUUCGGUUGGGGCGACCUUGGAGAAAAACAGAUCCUCCAAAAAUAAGACUACACCUCUUAACCAAGAGCGACACCUCAACGUACUAACAGUAACCAGACCCAAUAUAAUUGACCAAUGGACCAAGCUACCCCAGGGAUAACAGCGCAAUCCCCUCCAAGAGCUCAUAUCGACGAGGGGGUUUACGACCUCGAUGUUGGAUCAGGACAUCCUAAUGGUGCAGCCGCUAUUAAGGGUUCGUUUGUUCAACGAUUAAUAGUCCUACGUGAUCUGAGUUCAGACCGGAGCAAUCCAGGUCGGUUUCUAUCUAUGACAAACUUUUCCCAGUACGAAAGGACCGGAAAAGUGAGGCCCAUACCACAAGCACGCCUCCCCCCAAGUAGUGAACCCAACUGAACUACCAAACAGGCCACCCAUCUCCACACCAUCCUAGAAAAGGACCGCUAGCGUGGCAGA
Molecule: non-coding RNA, 455 nt
Filed under: Aptenodytes forsteri (emperor penguin)
Lineage: Eukaryota; Metazoa; Chordata; Aves; Sphenisciformes; Spheniscidae
Description: Bacterial large subunit ribosomal RNA
Rfam family: Bacterial large subunit ribosomal RNA
Source: Rfam by way of RNAcentral